This 323-nucleotide long non-coding RNA is filed under the name Ricinus communis (castor bean). Its description in RNAcentral is "long non-coding RNA (RCOM_LNC000474)". Lineage: Eukaryota; Viridiplantae; Streptophyta; Magnoliopsida; Malpighiales; Euphorbiaceae. The record is from RNAcentral.
CAUGUUAAAACUAACUAAAUCAAAACAUAUAUAUAUAUCAAUACAUUAGCCUAAAAAGAGCUUAAACAAAAGAAUUGUCACACGUAGUAAAAUAUAAUCAGUCCGAUAAGAAAACGCAAGCCUAAUACUGUAAACCAAUUAGGUUAAAACCAACAAGAAAGUACAUAACAAUAGUUUUUCCUCCAAAGAGUGCUAUAACAGAUAGCAAAAACCACAAUGUUAUUAUCCCACAAACGCAAGCCUAAUACUGUAAACCAAUUAGGUUAAAACCAACAAGAAAGUACAUAACAAUAGUUUUUCCUCCAAAGAGUGCUAUAACAGAU